RNAcentral lists this ribosomal RNA (576 nucleotides) under Neosmilaster steineni. RNAcentral describes it as "partial 16S ribosomal RNA". It matches the Rfam family "Bacterial large subunit ribosomal RNA", at positions 1816 to 2597 of the family's 2925-position model. The record is from RNAcentral. Lineage: Eukaryota; Metazoa; Echinodermata; Asteroidea; Forcipulatida; Asteriidae.
CGCUCUUUGCAAAAUAAUUAAAGUAUAAAGAGUUCUGCCUGCCCAGUGACGUUGUUAAACGGCCGCGGUAUCUUGACCGUGCAAAGGUAGCAUAAUCAUUUGCCUCUUAAAUGGGGGCUGGUAUGAAUGGCAAGACGGAGGUUGAGCUGUCUUUUUCUUAUACUUUGAAAUUAAUAUUCUUGUGAAGAAGCGGGAAUUAAUUCGUAGGACGAGAAGACCCUAUCGAGCUUUAGCAUAAGUAUUAAUAGCAUUUUCAUUGUGAGAAUCUAAUUUUACUAAGUUUUAGUAUAGUGAAUUUAAUUUUCUUAAGAAAAGCUAUAUAAUAUUAUUGUUUUGGUUGGGGCAACCAUGGAGAAAAUAAAUCCUCCAUUAAAAUAAAAAAAAGAUAUUACUUUGUUAAAAAUUAAAGUGAUCCGGGAUAAUGCCGAACAAAGGAAUAAGUUACCGUAGGGAUAACAGCGUAAUUUUUUUGGAGAGUUCAUAUUGAUAAAAAAGUUUGCGACCUCGAUGUUGGAUCGGGAUUUCCUAGAGAUGCAGCAGUUUCUAAGGGUUGGUCUGUUCGACCAUUAAAAUCCU